CCUUCAGCACCUCGGUGCAGGUCAACAAAGGCAUGCAGAUCAGUUGCCACAACACAACGUGCCGGGUGUUUUGCUCACUACCUGCAGAAACUGCCUUGCUCAACAGAGACACACUCAGAGCUUCGCGUCACUUGAGCAAGACUGGAAGCCCCUGAAGGCUGGUUCUAUCCUUUUCCAUAUGCCACCCACUCCCCAGGGCUGUGCUCAGUAACCGGUCAGAGACUGACAUCCUGCAGUGGGAGUCCAGGAUGAAUGUAAUGAAAGUUCCCAAGUUGCCAGCUUCUUACUGAAUCUGCAACAAAGGAAAAGAUCUUCCUUCACAGACUAUAAAAGAUACAAUCACCAACCACCCUGAACCAGAUCAGGCCAGGAGCAGCCAGAGCAGCGCCUGUGCAGAUGAGCAGAGAGAUGACCUGAAGUCGCCCUUUACUUCAUUUUAGUCCUAAGAUCUCUGCUUCAGGAGGAGCUUAGUUCUUAUUACCAUAACAUGCGAUGUAUACGGAAGCACGUUUUCCAACUGAGCCUGCGCAAUUGAAUGCCCACCUCUCCCUUUUGAAUAUUCAUUCCCCAUCUGAAAUAAAAGGCCCCUGCUGCCCGGUGUUCUGUGGAGGCGGGUGGGGGGGGGCAGCUGUGCGUUUGGAGAAGAUUCCACGUGGUCUCCUAUUUGCCGCAAAUAAAUUUUACUUUGUGUGACAA
RNAcentral lists this long non-coding RNA (696 nucleotides) under Equus caballus (horse). RNAcentral's name for it is "lncRNA (ENSECAG00000053014.1)". The record is from RNAcentral. Lineage: Eukaryota; Metazoa; Chordata; Mammalia; Perissodactyla; Equidae.